RNA transcript from Pyrus x bretschneideri (Chinese white pear), 3750 nucleotides. RefSeq lists it as uncharacterized. The transcript has 3 exons. NCBI's taxonomy places the organism in Eukaryota, Viridiplantae, Streptophyta, Magnoliopsida, Rosales, Rosaceae. The record is from RefSeq and is a predicted model, not a curated record.
ACAGGUUUAAUGUUCCUAAGCACGGUGUAAAGACGGAAUUGCGCCCAUAUUAUUGUUUAGGGUUUUCCAUAUGCACGGUAAAAUUACGAAAUUUCCCAUGUUAACAUGUGUAUCUGUGUUGUGAGCUGUCGUUCAUGCUUUUCUCGGUGGUUUAUGGAAUUCGACAUCAACUGUUUUCACACCAUCGAACGAAUCGACUCAUCCCAAUCUCCUGCACCUCUUCCUUCCUGCUCCAGUUCUCCAUUUUCGAUAGCCUUCCUCAUCUUUCAACGAGAUUCUUCAAUCAAACAAAACCACCGCCAACUCUGUAAAUUGCUUUUCCACCUGUUCACCCAAAUUCAAUGUAACACGCGAGAACCGCGACGUACCACCACUCCAUCCUCGCAUUUUCCAUAACCCUCUAUACGGAAGGGUUCCAAGGAUUGAAAAAAUUAUGGGUUCUUGGAGGAUUGGAGUGAGUGAAUCUUCCGCUCCGCCUCUUCGCCUCAUCUGGCAAAACAUCGUCCCAUUAGCUCUGUUGCUCGCAAUUAACAGAAAAAUAUUCGAAACCUAAAACCCUCAAACCAGCAAACCGUACCGUGUCGUCGUCUUGCCUUCGUCUUUCAGUUUCGAAAUUCCAAUUUAAGCGGUCGAUGAAAGCAGAGUGGGUAAGAUCAGUUGCUCUGCUACCCCAUCACUUUGCUUCUUGGCGAUGGCAUUGGCCUCAACCUCGCCCCCUCCAUCGAUGGUUUCUUUUAAUUCUGCUUCCGUUUUCUGAAUUUUAUUUCAGGUGCCUGAGAAACGGUGGGAAAAUUAAAAGGAAAAGUCUUUUAAUUUUCCCAUAUUUUCUUUGGGUUAAUGUUUAACAAUUUGAGCUGCUCUGUGUGUUGUAUAAUCGAGAAAUUUUGUUGGGAAAUUAGUAAUUAUAUAACAUUUGGAUAUUUGUAUAACUGAAUAUGUUUACAUAAACUAGAGAUUGAUUUUAAGUAUGAAGAAGUACCUAUUGGUGGAGCUGGCUUGGAUUUGACUGGAGUGCCAUUACCUGAUGAGACUCUUUUGUCAGCUAAGCAAUCGACGUAAUUCUUCUCGGAGCAGUUGGGGGUAGGUCAUGAUUGUCCUUCUCAAUCCGUUUUUUUUCUUAGUGAUUAUCCUUUUCAAGUGAUAUAAUUGAAUUCGAUUAUGGUCUUUGUUUCAAAUUUUGGCUUCAAUCUCUUUACUUUGAUUCUAAUGAAUGAAGAGAAUCGUUCUCAAAAUUUCAAGUUUUUCAUGAAUAUGUUGCAUUUCUUUAAAGCAUGAUUUGAUUUUUUUAAUUGUAAUUUCAACAUUUUGGAUCUCUGUAUGCCUUUUUAUUAUAUUAUUGCUUGUUGGAUCUGAUUGAUUUGGUGUGUAGAAUUUGGAAUUUGUUGAGGGAGCCUAAUGUUACCAUUGAUGAAGUCUGCGCUUUUGGAAGGAAAGUAGUGAUAUUUAAUUAUUGCUUAUUGCAUUUUGUCCAAUUUUAUGGGAAAAAUUCUGAAUUAGGUGUGUGCUUGAUCCGAAAAAGUCUCAGAACUUUGCAAUUCUUGCUUAUUGCAUUGUGUCCAAUUUGGAAGGUAAGUUGUGAUUCUGUAAGGAUGUAUUGAAGGGCCAUUUGUGUAGUUCGUUAGUGAAAUUUCGUUGUUUAUGUAUUUCCGAUAUACUUUGAUAAUUAAGGUUUAAAUGUCAUAAGGUUCCCUUGGUUUAGGAUUGACAAAUAAGAAGGAAUUGAAGAAGUGGGUUUAGGUUAUUGUGGAGAACUGUUACAGAAUUGUACUUAUUAUUGCAGGGAAAUAAAACAGAAUUGUACCUUUUGCAAAAUUAUCGAGUCGUAGCAAUUUGCUGAUUCCCUAUUCAAUUGAAGUAAUUUUUUUGAAAUUUUAUUUGUCUUCCUGUAAUUUUCUGAAAAAGGAUUGUUUUGUUGCAAAAAGCAGGGCUAUGCUCCCAUCUCUUCAAGACUUGAAGAUUUCUACAUUCCCCGGCUUUAUCUUGGAAUUCAGGUAUUUUGUUAUUUGAUUGCGUUGUAUUUCUGGAUUUGAAUGAAAUUGAUGCAUCUAGUCCUGCAAUUAAACAUGAAUUUCAUGGAGUCCCGUAAACUUAAUCAUAAUUGGUAAUUUUGAUUAAUUUUUUAAAGUCUUGACUGAUCAGAACAAUUUCAAUAUACUUAUUGUAAGUGCUAUGGAUAGUUGGUUUGAUGUGGUUUAUCGCUACUCCAAUGACUACAAAACACUCAAGUAACAUGUACAAAUUUCUUUUGAUUUCACAAUUUCCAUGAAUAUUUCAUGCCUUUUGUUAUGUUUACUUGAUUUCUAGUAUCAUCAUGUUACUUGUAAAAUUGUGAAUUCUGUGUUUUUCCACAUCCAGUUUCUAAAAAUGAUUUUCAUCCGUCCAGAAAUAUAAAAUAAUAAUUGUCUAUUGGGUCCAAAAAAAGGCCGAGAUGACAGUGGUUGGUAUACUAAUACUACUUUGCAAGAAAAUUUUGGUCAAACUAUUUUUCUCAAUGUAUUUACCAUGGUAUGCUUCUAUCAUCAGUCACCACCGGUUUGCAGACGAGUUCUUCCUGUAAAAAGGGGAAUGUCACAUCCCGGCCUGAGCCCCCACCACAUCCCAAUAUUUAUUUAUACAAUAUUUUUAGCAAACCAAGUGAGCUAUCCAUCGAUGAAGCAGAGUGGGUAGGAUUAGUUGCUUCUUUUACAAAUUGUAAUCACCGCCAAUUUUCCCACUUUUACAAAUUUAUUUAUACGAGAAUUUUUUUUAUUUUUAAUUUUUGUCUCCUUUUUCUCUGUUUAGCGGUCGAUGAAAGCAGAGUGGGUAAGAUCAGUUGCUCUGCAGCCUCACCCUCCAAACGCUACCCCAUCACUUUGCUUCUCAAUCCGUUUUAUUUCUUAGUUAUUAUCCUUUUCAAGUGAUAUAAUUUAGUUAAUUCGAUUAUGGUUUUUGUUUCAAAUUUUGGCUUCAAUCUCUUUACUUAGAUUCUAAUGAAUGAAGAGAAUUGUUCUCAAAAUUUCAAGUUUUUCAUGAAUAUGUUGCAUUUCUUUAAAGCAUGAUUUGAUUUUUUAUUGUAAUUUCAACAUUUUGGAUAUCUGUAUGCCUUUUUAUUAUAUUAUUACUUGUUGGAUCUGAUUGAUUUGGUGUGCAGAAUUUGGAAUUUGUUGAGGGGGCCUAAUGUUACCAUUGAUGAAGCGCCUUUGGACGGUAAGUGGUGAUAUUUAAUUAUUGUUUAUUGCAUUUUGUCAAAUUUUAUGGGAAAUUUUAUGAAUUAGGUGUGUGCUUGAUCCGAAAAAGUCUCUGAACAUUGCAAUUCUUGCUUAUUGCAUUGUGUCCAAUAUGGAAGGUAAGUUGUGAUUCUGUGAGGAUGUACUGAAGGGCCAUUUGUUUAGUUCGUUAGUGGAAUUUCAUUAUUUAUGUAUUUCUGAUAUACUUGGUAUAAUUGAUAGUUAAGGUUUGAAUGUCAUAAGGUUCCCUUGGUUUAUGAUUGACAAAUAAGAAGGAAUUGAAGAAGUGGGUUUAGCCUUUUAGGUUAGUGGGGAGAACUGUUAUAGAAUUGUACUUCUUGUUAUUGCAGGGAAAUGAAACAGAAUUGUCCCUUCUGCUAUGGAGUGGUAGCAAUUUGCAGAUUCCCUAUUCAAUUGAAGUAAUUUGUUUCAAAUUUUAUUUGUCUUCCUGUAAUUUUCUGAAUGUUUUGUUGCAAAAAGCAAGGCGAUGCUCCCAUCUCUUCAAGACUUGAAGUUUUCUAUAUUCCCUGGUUUUAUCUUCGAA